GAGGACGAAGCGGCGAGGCGCCGCAACCGCUUGAUAACCGGGAGUCCGGAGUAGCGCUCCGGAUGGGGUUCGAGUCCCCCGUCCUCC
RNAcentral lists this transfer RNA (87 nucleotides) under Actinomycetota bacterium. RNAcentral's name for it is "tRNA-Ile". The record is from RNAcentral. Lineage: Bacteria; Bacillati; Actinomycetota.